UACAGAGGUCGCGAGCGUUGUUCGGAUUUACUGGGCGUAAAGGGCGCGUAGGCGGCGGAAUGUGUCGGAUGUGAAAUCUCCGGGCUCAACCCGGAAAGUGCGUCCGAAACUAUUCCGCUCGAGUGCGGGAGGGGGAAGGGGAAUAUAGGGUGUAGCGGUGAAAUGCGUUGAUAUCCUAUAGAACACCGGAGGCGAAGGCGCCUUCCUGGAACGCAACUGACGCUGAGGCGCGAAAGUCGGGGGAGCAAAC
RNAcentral lists this ribosomal RNA (250 nucleotides) under uncultured prokaryote. RNAcentral's name for it is "partial 16S ribosomal RNA". It matches the Rfam family "Bacterial small subunit ribosomal RNA", at positions 524 to 773 of the family's 1533-position model. The record is from RNAcentral.